UACGGGGGGGGGCAAGCGUUGUUCGGAAUUACUGGGCGUAAAGGGCGCGUAGGCGGCCUUCUAAGUCAGACGUGAAAUCCCCAGGCUCAACCUGGGAACUGCGUCUGAUACUGGAGGGCUUGAAUCCGGGAGAGGGAUGUGGAAUUCCAGGUGUAGCGGUGAAAUGCGUAGAUAUCUGGAGGAACACCGGUGGCGAAGGCGGCAUCCUGGACCGGUAUUGACGCUGAGGCGCGAAAGCCAGGGGAGCAAACGGG
This 254-nucleotide ribosomal RNA is filed under the name uncultured bacterium. Its description in RNAcentral is "partial 16S ribosomal RNA". It matches the Rfam family "Bacterial small subunit ribosomal RNA", at positions 524 to 776 of the family's 1533-position model. The record is from RNAcentral.